Molecule: ribosomal RNA, 301 nt
Filed under: uncultured bacterium
Lineage: Bacteria
Description: partial 16S ribosomal RNA
Rfam family: Bacterial small subunit ribosomal RNA
Source: RNAcentral
CAGUCGCCGCGGUAAAACGAAGGGUGCAAGCGUUAAUCGGAAUUACUGGGCGUAAAGCGUGCGUAGGCGGUGAGUUAAGUCUGCUGUGAAAUCCCCGGGCUCAACCUGGGAAUGGCAGUGGAUACUGGCUCGCUAGAGUGUGUCAGAGGAUGGUGGAAUUCCCGGUGUGGCGGUGAAAUGCGUAGAGAUCGGGAGGAACAUCAGUGGCGAAGGCGGCCAUCUGGGACAACACUGACGCUGAGGCACGAAAGCGUGGGGAGCAAACAGGAUUAGAGACCCGCGUAGUCCCUGUCUCUUAUAA